RNAcentral lists this ribosomal RNA (468 nucleotides) under uncultured bacterium. Its description in RNAcentral is "partial 16S ribosomal RNA". It matches the Rfam family "Bacterial small subunit ribosomal RNA", at positions 28 to 507 of the family's 1533-position model. The record is from RNAcentral.
GACGAACGCUGGCGGCGUGCUUAACACAUGCAAGUAGAACGGAAAGGCGCUGCUUUUGUGGUUUGCUCGAGUGGCGCACGCGUGUGUAUCACGUGAGUAUCCUCCCCUUGACUUUGGGAUAACUUUAGGAGACUGGGGAGCUUACCGCAUAUGAGCUUCUUCUUCAUGUUGUGGUUUGGAAAAUUUCGGCGCUUCGGGAUGGACUCGCGGCUUAUCAGCUUGUUGGUGGGGUAGUGGCUUACCAAGGCUUUGACGGGUAGCCGGACUGAGAGGGUGACCGGCCACAGUGGGACUGAGAAGGGGGCAAGAGUCAUACGGGGGGAAGGAGGGGGGAAUUGUGCGAAAUGGGCGGAAGGCGGAUGGAGCAAUGCCGGGUGGGGGAUGACGGCCUUCGGGGUGGAACGGGUGUGAGAGUGUGAAGAAGAGUGAGUGACGGUAAUGGGUAAAGAAGCAACGGCUAACUACGUG